RNAcentral lists this ribosomal RNA (468 nucleotides) under uncultured bacterium. RNAcentral describes it as "partial 16S ribosomal RNA". It matches the Rfam family "Bacterial small subunit ribosomal RNA", at positions 28 to 507 of the family's 1533-position model. The record is from RNAcentral.
GACGAACGCUGGCGGUGUGCUUAACACAUGCAAGUCGAACGGCAAGGCCCUGCUUUUGUGGGGUGCUCGAGUGGCGAACGGGUGAGUAACACGUGAGUAACCUGCCCUACACUUUGGGGUAACUUCAGGAAACUGGGGCUAAUCCCGGAUAGCAGCUCCCGCUGCAUGGUAGGGGUUGGAAAGUUUCGGCGGGUGGGGAUGGACGGGCGGCUUAUCGGCUAGUUGGUGGGGUAGUGGCUUACCAAGGGUUUGACGGGUCGGCGGCCUGAGAGGGUGAACGGCCACAAUGGGACUGAGAGACGGAGCAGACUCCUACGGUAGGCAGCAGGGGGGAAUCUUGCCCAAUGGGCGGAAGCCUGAUGCAGCAGCGCUGCGGGCGGAAUGACGGCCUGCGGGUUGUAAACCGCUUUCGCCUGUUACGCAGCGUGAGUGACGGUAAUGGGUAAAUAAGCACCGGCUAACUACGUG